RNAcentral lists this long non-coding RNA (437 nucleotides) under Fukomys damarensis (Damara mole-rat). RNAcentral describes it as "lncRNA (ENSFDAG00000022974.1)". Lineage: Eukaryota; Metazoa; Chordata; Mammalia; Rodentia; Bathyergidae. The record is from RNAcentral.
GCCUUUGAGUGUUCUUAUCUUGUCCUGUCUGUCUUUCUGUCCUUAAAGGCAUCAAUUGCGAAGCAAAUACAUAUGAGUGCAUGUCACGGCCCUGUCUUCAUGACGGAGCGGGUACUGAUGCCAUCAGUCACUGCACCUGCCACUGCAGGAGACAGCUUUUUGGAUCACACUGUGACAUAAAUGCAGGUGCUUGCCUCUCAAAUCCUCGCCUGCCGGGAAGGAAUAAAGUUGUGCUCUCCGUUUGUUAAUGUAGCACCGUGCACCAGUCCCUUGUGUAAAGGAAGGCUCGCGGCAGGAGUGUGGACUCACUCGCGUGUGCCUGCGGGGAUCAGCUGACAUGCGCCCUGGGCUGACGGCGGCGGGGAUCUCGGCGAUGCUCCUGGACCUGCUCUGGUCUGCAGGUAAGUGCUUCCGCACGCCCAUGAGGUGUGCACGCC